RNAcentral lists this ribosomal RNA (497 nucleotides) under uncultured bacterium. RNAcentral describes it as "partial 16S ribosomal RNA". It matches the Rfam family "Bacterial small subunit ribosomal RNA", at positions 28 to 507 of the family's 1533-position model. The record is from RNAcentral.
GACGAACGCUGGCGGCGUGCCUAAUACAUGCAAGUAGAACGCUGAAGAGAGGAGCUUGCUCUUCUUGGAUGAGUUGCGAACGGGUGAGUAACGCGUAGGUAACCUGCCUUGUAGCGGGGGAUAACUAUUGGAAACGAUAGCUAAUACCGCAUAACAAUGGAUGACACAUGUCAUUUAUUUGAAAGGGGCAAUUGCUCCACUACAAGAUGGACCUGCGUUGUAUUAGCUAGUAGGUGAGGUAAUGGCUCACCUAGGCGACGAUACAUAGCCGACCUGAGAGGGGGAUAGGCCAAGCUGGGACUUAGACACGGCCCAGACUCCUACGGGAGGCAGCAGUAGGGAAGCUUCGGCAAUGGGGGCAACCCUGACCGAGCAACGCCGCGUGAGUGAAGAAGGUUUUCGGAUCGUAAAGCUCUGUUGUAAGUCAAGAACGGGUGUGAGAGUGGAAAGUUCACACUGUGACGGUAGCUUACCAGAAAGGGACGGCUAACUACGUG